Molecule: ribosomal RNA, 436 nt
Filed under: uncultured bacterium
Lineage: Bacteria
Description: bacterial SSU rRNA
Rfam family: Bacterial small subunit ribosomal RNA
Source: RNAcentral
CAAGAAAGCACCGGCUAACUCCGUGCCAGCAGCCGCGGUAAUACGGAGGGUGCAAGCGUUGCUCGGAAUUACUGGGCGUAAAGCGUACGCAGGCGGUCUGAUAAGUCGGGUGUGAAAGCCCCGGGCUCAACCCGGGAACUGCAUUCGAAACUGCCAGACUUGAGUUUGGGAGAGGGAAGUGGAAUUCCUGGUGUAGAGGUGAAAUUCGUUGAUAUCAGGAGGAACACCGGCGGCGAAAGCGGCUUCCUGGCCCGAUACUGACGCUCAUGUACGAAAGCGUGGGGAGCAAACAGGAUUAGAUACCCUGGUAGUCCACGCCGUAAACGAUGAGUGCUAGAUGUUGGAGGUAUUCACCCCUUCAGUGUCGAAGCUAACGCAUUAAGCACUCCGCCUGGGGAGUACGGCCGCAAGGUUAAAACUCAAAGGAAUUGACGGG